This 497-nucleotide ribosomal RNA is filed under the name uncultured bacterium. Its description in RNAcentral is "partial 16S ribosomal RNA". It matches the Rfam family "Bacterial small subunit ribosomal RNA", at positions 28 to 507 of the family's 1533-position model. The record is from RNAcentral.
GAUGAACGCUGGCGGCGUGCCUAAUACAUGCAAGUCGAGCGGACGGACGCGAAGCUUGCUUCUCUGAUGUUAGCGGCGGACGGGUGAGUAACACGUGUAUAACCUACCUAUAAGACUGGGAUAACUUCGGGAAACCGUAUCUAAUACCGGAUAAUAUUUUGCACCGCAUGGUUCAAAAGUGAAAGACGGUCUUGCUGUCACUUAUCGAUGGAUCCGCGCUGCAUUAGCUAGUUGGUAAGGUAACGGCUUACCAAGGCAACGAUGCAUAGCCGACCUGAGAGGGUGAUAGGCCACACUGGAACUGAGACACGGUCCAGACGCCUACGGGAGGCAGCAGUAGGGAAUCUUCCGCAAUGGGCGAAAGCCUGACGGAGCAACGCCGCGUGAGUGAUGAAGGUCUUCGGAUCGUAAAACUCUGUUAUUAGGGAAGAACAGAUGUGUAAGUAACUGUGCACAGCGUGACGGUAACUAAUCAGAAAGCAACGGCUAACUACGUG